UGGGUAACCUGCCUCAAAGAGGGGAAUAGCCUCCCGAAAGGGAGAUUAAUACCGCAUAAUAUGUUUAAGUCGCAUGGCUUUAACAUCAAAGGAUUUUUCUUUUAGAAAUUCCACUUUGAGAUGGACCCGCGGCGCAUUAGCUAGUUGGUGAGGUAACGGCUCACCAAGGCAACGAUGCGUAGCCGACCUGAGAGGGUGAUCGGCCACAUUGGAACUGAGACACGGUCCAGACUCCGUAGG
This 240-nucleotide ribosomal RNA is filed under the name uncultured bacterium. RNAcentral describes it as "partial 16S ribosomal RNA". It matches the Rfam family "Bacterial small subunit ribosomal RNA", at positions 118 to 344 of the family's 1533-position model. The record is from RNAcentral.